This 494-nucleotide ribosomal RNA is filed under the name uncultured bacterium. RNAcentral's name for it is "partial 16S ribosomal RNA". It matches the Rfam family "Bacterial small subunit ribosomal RNA", at positions 28 to 507 of the family's 1533-position model. The record is from RNAcentral.
GACGAACGCUGGCGGCGUGCUUAACACAUGCAAGUCGAACGGUGAAGCGCCUUCCUUUUUGGUGGGUGUGGAUGCGUGGCGAACGGGUGAGUAACACGUGAGUAACCUGCCCCCUUCUUCUGGAUAACCGCAUGAAAGUGUGGCUAAUACGGGAUAUUCUGGUUCUGUCGCAUGAUGGGUCUGGGAAAGAUAUUGUUUCGGUGGGGGAUGGGCUCGCGGCCGAUCAGCUUGUUGGUGGGGUGAUGGCCUACCAAGGCGGUGACGGGUAGCCGGCCUGAGAGGGUGGACGGUCACACUGGGACUGCGGCACGGCCGAGACUGCGACGGGGGGCAGCAGUGGGGAGUAUGGCACAAUGGGCGAAAGCCUGAUGCAGCGACGCCGCGUGAGGGAUGGAGGCCUUCGGGUUGUGAACCUCUUUCGCCAGUGAAGCAGGCCUGCCUCGUUUGUGGGUGGGUUGACGGUAGCUGGAGAAGAAGCGCCGGCUAACUACGUG